GUUCAACCAGACUACGUGUUAACAAAGCAAGAAGCUGUCCCCAGAAACAGGCUUCUCUGACACUUCAACACUGAAAGCUUCAGCAUCCCUCCCUGUCCAGGAACGAGGUUCUGCUUUGGCAGCCGAGCACAGUAAUUUUCCAAAUGAUCGGAGCAAGCAGUGCCUCAUGCAUCCCAGACCAUGUGCUCCACUACGUAACCCAGCCUCUUACUCCAUUACAUGCUGAUAGCAUCGAAGAAGGACAAUAUUGACAAAACUCUGUGCUAACAAGGAUACCAAUGGAUGAGCGCUUUUAUAAACUGAAAUGCAAGCAAGAGGCCCGUAUUGAGGAAAAAGAUGACUGCUCUGACCUUUCUGCUGCUGCCCAGAAGAUGUUAUUUUGUUCCUAAUUCCUGAGUAGCUGCUUUUGGGUGAUUCAGGAUGGGAUGAAGAAGAGAAACACUAUCAGGCUGUCCACUGGAUGGUGGUUUGGGCAACCCAUUGCCGUGGGUACUGAGGAGCCAGAGAGAGUCAAUUGUGGGCAGAAGCAGGCACUGCAUAAACCCUCGUCGUUGAGCAUU
This 560-nucleotide long non-coding RNA is filed under the name Rhinolophus ferrumequinum (greater horseshoe bat). RNAcentral describes it as "lncRNA (ENSRFEG00010016369.1)". The record is from RNAcentral. Lineage: Eukaryota; Metazoa; Chordata; Mammalia; Chiroptera; Rhinolophidae.